GCGAGCACCCCCAGCCCUCCUUGGCAGCCUCUGCGAGCGCAGCCGGCGACCGUGUCUGUGGCAGAAAGGCCCGCCAGUGUCCCCUGGGAAACUUGCCAGCACACGUUAUUUUAGGCCUGGGUUUUUCAAUUUGAUCCUAUUCUCCUGGGAUACAGAGGAGUUUUUAUGUUUGCUGUUGCUGCCCUUCCAGAAGAUGAGGGGCCUUUUCCUAGGAUUUUAUAUUAACUAUCCAAGAAAGCUUUCACAUCUGCUGUGAGCCGGGGUGGUACGAAGUUCCUAGCAUGCCUCAUCCCGCUCUCAAAGCCCACGACGACGGUCCUUUGAUUUUUUUGAGGAACAUAUCAUCGCCAAUUUGCAGAUGAGUAAACAGGUUCACGGAGGGGGGUGUGGCUGGCCCAAGUGGCUGGGCCAGGACUUGUGACCAGCCCGUGACUCUCUGCCACUGUGAGCAUGACCCUUUCCUAGCGCUCUGGCUUGCGGUUUGGGUGGGCCUGAGUUUGGGUGUUGCACAAAGUCUAGGAGGAGCACUGGGAAGAGGUGGUGUUACUGCCUGUCGCAGCUUUGGAAACUCUCAGGUCUUUCUGACCCGUGAGGCAUUUCUGUCAGGAUGGGCAGGCCCAGAAAUAAGAAAAGCAUGUUUUAGUUGGGUGCUGUUGCUGGACGGGACCCAAAAGAAUGCCUAAACCCAUUUUACAGAAAAACUGAGGUCCACAGAAAGGAGGGAUUUGCCAAGGACAUAUGGAGAGCUGGUGACAUAAUUGGGGUGUAAACCCAGGCUCUUCAGCCAGCACAGACCCCCCAGAAGCAGUGAAGCCCUCUGCCUGGCGUCCUCUCUGUCCCACUUACCGCUGUUAGAGGCCAUGGGAGGGAUAGCAGGCCUGCAGGGACACGGUUGUCAGGAGAGCUCACACACAUGCUGGCCCUGUAGACAGAGGCUUCAGUAAAACCAAGGAAGGUGAAACUGGCCUGUGUUCUCUGCUCACGGCUGACCCCUCCCCCAACAACUUCUGGGCUUUGCCCUGAGAGGGACAGUGACAAACUGCAGAGUCAGGAGGGCGGCAGGCAUGGGCAGAGGCAGGCAGGGCAAAGCACACAGGCUGUGGGAGUCCACCUAGAGAAGAGACAGCAUGUGGACACGGGGUGGGGACCAUGCAUCUCUCAAGGACUGUCAGGGCAGAGGGAGCCGAUGUACAGACAGGGGACUUGUGGGCAGACGAUGCAUAGACAGAUUCCAGCUCUGCAAGAGGAAAAGUUUCCUAAUAGCCAGAGCAGAUCAAGAAUUAGAGCUACCCAAGCUGCCUCAAGGUAGUGAGUCUGUCAUCACUAGGGGAAUAAGACCAAAGGCUGGACCACCGCCUAAACCAGAGAGGAUGCAGAGGGAACUUCUAGCCUAGCAGGUAGGGCACUCAAGACAAACAAGAAAUAGGUACCUUGCUCUUCUGUAGGCUGCUGGUGCCUGCAUAAUUCGUUGUCUGCCAUCAGACCUGAUGGCUGAAAGAAUCGGGUCGGUUAUGGCAGCCGAGGAAAGUUCAAUAUGCUAAACUGCAACUGGGGCCGGGCAGAAGGUGGCCAAAGCCAGAGGAGCGGAAUUGGACUGAGGAGAGGACAGCAGCAGGGGGGCGUGCACACCACCAGGCAUGCUGAUGGGGCCAUCAAGGUGAAUGACGCUCUUCUGGGCUGUGAGAGGUAAAGGAAGCAGGUGGCAUCAGCGACAGGACUCAAGUGUCACCAGCCUUCCCUGCAUACUGGGCUUCCUCAGUGCUCCAGGGACCCUCUGGGGCACGGGUCAUUUGGGGUUAUCACUCUGUCUCCCUCCCCAUCUGUCUCUGAGUUCCUCAGUGAACCUCAUUCCUCCUGGAAUCCCCGUGGCUGGGGGCCUGGCCUGGAGGGGCCUCCACGAAAGGAUCAGGGAGGACAGGACAGAGCACUCCAUGCCAAGCCGGGCCGUUCAUCCUAGAGGACCAGAGCCCCAUCAGCUGCUCCAGCUUCCUGUUCUUCCAGGCAGAGGUGGGGAAGUGCUGAGCCCUUGAACUAAGGUCCUGCCUGGCUGGCACUGGGGCCCUGCAGUGACUCCAGUGCAGACCUGCCUUCGAGGGAACAGCAGCCUAUUGAGUAUCCAGGAUGUGCAAGGGCUGAGGUCCCAACCAGGGAGCACACAAGGAACCUAGACCCGGUGGCAGAAGUAAUAGCACCAGCUGUCUCCUGCAGAAUACAUUUCUCAGUCCCCUGUGCAGUGUACCCUCAGUUAUAAAAGCAGGCCCAGAUGUCAGCUCACAGUGGGGCUCAGAGGGCCAGAAGCGUCAUUUCCCCUCCUCACUGGGGUGUGCCAUUCCCUAGAGGGUAGGACCACCCUUGACGACACGUUGAUUCUGCCCUCACAGCGUAGGCAUGCAGUCCCAAGGGCCCAGCUGUGUUUGGUGGGGAAGGUAGAGGACGGGCCUCAUGCCUGGCCUCCUGCACUCACUGGCCUUGUGGCCUUGGCCAGUCACGCCAUAGGGGCCUCAGUGUCCUCAUCUGUGCACUGCGUAUGGCAAUGAGCUGCUGACAGACAGUGUUCCCAGCCCAGACAGUGCUGUGUCAGUGUUAUCUAGUGUGAUUCCCAUAACCCUGCCCCUGUUGCCUGGGGUCAGCCCUGCAGUUUGAUUGAAGUCCAUUUUUAAGAGCCACAGGAAGGACCCAUUGUCCAGAAUUCUGGAUAGGAGUCCUGUCCUGUCACUCGCUGCUCCCUGUGUGACCAAGUUUCUUCCCCUACAUCUGUCCAGUAGGGAGUUGGGCUUUGAUGGGCUCUAAGGCCACCUCCACCAAUGACAUCAGGGGUUCUCUAACUCUCCCCAUGUCCCCAUCUGUGGGCUGGACCACCUGCACCUCCCAGGUGAGGGGAGGACGUCGAGGGAGACUGGGAAGGCAGCCCAGCAGCCUCUACCAUCAGACUCUGUGUUUGCCUUCCUGCACCCAUCCCAUGGACCUCAUUAUCAGGAACUGUCAUUUGGGUGACCCAUCUGAGCCCAAAGGAGCUGGAGAGGAGCCCCAGCUCCCGAUGGCCAGUCCAGCUGCUGGUUGGGGAGCAACGCCCUGGAAUGAAUCACCUCAACCGCAAGGGGAACCGUCCGGUACUGCAUAUCCUGGCUGCCUGGAGCAAGCACCAUCUUUGCCAGCCACCAAGGUGAAGAAAGGAUCUGGGGGAGUUCAGCCUCAGAGGACACCCCGUGCACCCUUCCCUCAGCAGAUAUUUUUCAGAGCCCUCCGUACCAGCCACUGGGCUGGGCAUCAGAGAGAGUCCAGAGGUGAGAACAGUCAGGCCCAGCCUCCAGGGGCUCAGCCUGGCCAGGCCAGCCUGUGUCUUAUUGUACACAGGUCUGCACAGGGGGUCUUGGGAGCCCAGAGCUGGCAUGUGGGUGGGCAGUCCCUGCCACAGAGAAUCAGGAGAAGCUGCAGGGAGAAGGCUGCACCUGAACCUUCAAGAGAAGGCAGGUGUUCCCCAGACAGGGACGGCUAGCAGGGCAGCUCAGGUAGAGGGGACAGCCCAGGCAGAGCCAUGGAGGUGCAGGAGAGCCUUGGCGGGUCUCGGGGGCUCCCAGAAGAGUUGAGAUGCAGUUCUCAGUGAUGGGGCCACUGACGUGCAGGUUGCACUCACCAGGGUCCUGCGAGGCAUUUUCUUCCUCAUCUUAGGCUGGGGGAAGCUGAAUGCCUGCCAGGGUCCACAGCAGAGCCAAGACUGGAGUGGAGGCCAUGGGACUCCCAGCCGUGUCCUCCCAUCUCUUCCCCGGCAUUCCUUACACUCAGUCAAAAGGUCUUCUGACGUCAAACCUAGAAGUGUUUGAGACCCAUUUACUCUAGUCCCUUUGCUUCAUGGGUGGGGAAACUGACACCCAGAAGGGAUUUAGGGUUGGUGUAAGGCUGCCCGGCUGGCAGCUGACCACUGACCACAGAGAUGGUGACAGCUUCCCACUGUGGUGACCAGACAGGUCCCUGGAUCAGCCCAAGCUGCCACCUGUCUGCAUCCCACCCCCCAACUUUCUGCACUUGCAGUGACCCACAGUGGCGCCUGCACACCUCAUGACAUCUCAGAGCCCCCUCCAUGGCAGGGGCCCCUACCUGUGAAUCGUCUUCGGCGAUUCUGCCUGAUUGCCCUUGAACACUUUCUUCAUCCCCUCCUGCCUGCAGAACUCUCUCCCUUGGCUGCCCGCCAACUCAUUGACCUGGCACCCACCACUGGCCCCUGGAUACUCUCACUCCAGCCUCAGGGAGCAAAGGGUUGAGCUGAGAAAUUGGCAAGAAAAUGUCAAACUCUUAACACAGUUUCCUGUCUCUGGAAAGGCUGGCAGUGGAGGAAAGGGAUGAAAAGCCUUGAAAAAAAUCUCAUUAAAAGGCUCUGCAGGCACUUUGGCCUGUGAAUGAGUCUUCGCAAGUUCUGGUUUGGUGAGUUUUUGCAAAGGAAUGUGGACAAGAUGAGGGAAGGACUUCAAAGACUGGGGGACUUCUAGCUGGGGGCAGACAGCAGGGAGGCGGGGUGAGUGCUGUGGCCUCCAGUUCUGCUGGGCAGGCUCUGCCCUCAUGGAGCAGGGAUCCUGUGUGACCCAUGGGAAGGGGCACCGAGUGGCCCCUCUGAGGCCUCUGCAGUCAGCAGCUUUGACAAGGACCCAGCCCCUGCUUGGUUGAGGUGGUGAGAGUCUCAAAGCCAGUGGGGGUAAUGGCUGCAUACAGUCCUUACGGAGGGACCUUUGGCUUUCUAAUCCCCGAAGGCAAAUUGCCUGGCAUCUUGCAAACGUGACCUAAGGAGACAUCUCUGGGGUCUGGCCUGUUUCCAUCAUGCUGUGGCACUUGGUUGUUCACAGCCUCUCCAGCCCAGCCCAUGAGCUCUGCCCCGUCCAGUGUCAGUUACUGAAUGACCUGUAGCCCUGCAGGAGCUCACAGCCUCACAAGGAAAGGAAGACACUUACACCUAUAACUCGCGGAGAAUGUGUUCAGGGCUGCCCGAAGUAGAAAGUACUCUUUCUAUGAAAGUUUCCAGGCUAUGAAAGAGGGAAGGAAUCAGGAAGGGGAAUGUGAAGGAUGAGCAGGUCUUAGACCCAUGCACAGGGGAGAAAAGGCAGGCUGCAGAGAGAAUGGGCCCAGAGACAGGGCAGGGCGGAGCUUGCCUAAGAACAACAAAUGACACAUUCAUCUGAGCCCAAGAGAGGUGUAGCCCUGAUCACCAGGUGGAGGGGUCGGGGAUUUACCUGUGAGGCAGCAGGGAGUUCUCAAGGUUUGAAGCAGGGUGCAGUGCUAUUGUCAGGGCUGUAUUCUAGAACCAUGAGUGAACUAGGGGGCCCAUGAGUACUGGCGAGGAGGGAUGCCAGCUUCUGCCUCCCCAUCCCCUCAGUGAUCCACCCCUUCCCCUCCAUGUCCCUACACAUGCCACGUGAACUGGCACAGACCGAGAGCUGGGGAGGGGCCUGAUGUAGGAGUCCAGAAGGCGAACAGCACGUGGGCAGGCAUCCCAGGAGACCGAGGCAGCCCUUUUCAAGAUGGAGAGGGACAACAUAGGCUCUGCAGUCAGAUAUCUGAAUCCAAGUCCUGCUUCCGUCUCUUUCCCCGCACCUGAUGCUGGGCAAGGUACUGCACCUUCCUGAGCAUCACGGGAUGCUUGCCUCAGCAAGAAGUAAGGCUUGGCAGAUAAGCCCUACACAUAGAUGGUGCUCAGUAUAUACCAGUCUCUGCUUCUCCCAGCUUUUCCAGAGCCUUCAGAAAUCACCAUGGAAGCAGCAGAGUGGACAGAGCCCUGGGUGAGUCCAGGCUGUCCCUGCUGCACUAGGUGACUUGGGCAGGUAUCUGGCAGGUAUCUUCUCCACUUGCAUCGAUAAAAUGAGGGUCUGGGGUCUGAUUAGUAAACUUGCUUCCAGUUUAAGGGUUCUAUGACUAGACCACUUUCCUCUCAGUCCAAGGAUGGCAGGAAGGUCCCAUCUCCUCCAAGGAGGGAAGGAGGAGCACGACAUUAUCAAGAACUUGCCUCCUGUCCUUCAGAUUGCUUGAUGACAUCUAUUUGUAUCCGGCUUAGAGCAGCCGGGUUUGUGUUGACUGCUGGGUACUCAGUCUUCAGCCGGCAAAUACCUCCUGUAGCUCCGGAGGAGGUUGGGUGGGUGUAACAGGGCCAAGAAGAGCUGAGGGGCACUGGGGGUGCAUGGCAGUUAGGGUUGUUUUUCUUUUGUCUGUCCCUUCAUUGAUUAAUAUAGCAAAGGAGAGAGUUUUCAAACAGUAGGCAUGUCUGGGUCCAGGCAGGCAAGUGAUUAAUCUUAGUUUGUUGCUGCUGACAGCUAGGAGAAAGAAAUAAUAAAGGUUUAGGCGCCGGUGGGAGUGGGGAUAUGAGGAAAGGCUGCUCUCCCCUCAUCUAUCAGCAGGGAGCAAGUCUCCACUUCCUUCUGCCGUCCAAGCAUCCCCUUGUUGGGUUAACAUCUGAGACUCCAGACACCUAGCUCCGUGGUGGUUGCUUGCUCCCAUGUGUGAGCCACCAGGGUGGUCCCUGCAAGGCCACAGUGGGACCUCCCUGGCCAUUGUUGAGUUCCCCGCACAGCCCCAGCAUACCUGAACACCUGACAGUGGACUUAGUAGGUCACUGUAUUCCCCAGCCAGGCCCCUGCAGGGAUGAUGAAGCCUUUUAAGAGCAAACUUCAGGGAAGGCAGGUGUGUGCAGCUCAGGUACACUACUGCUCGCCUCAGGACCCCCACACUGCUCAGCAGUGGUUGCAGGGGCCCUGAGCUCCUGGCCAUGUGCCCCAUGACUCCCCCAACAGAGGGAGCUCUGCACAGCGGUGAAGACAAUGGCUCUGGAUCUUGGCUUAGGCUCUUGAAACCCAGCUCCGCCACUUACUAACAGGGUAGUGUUGGACAAAGGGACUGAACAUCUCUGAGCCUUGGUUUUCUCAUCUAUAAAAUGGGUUUCACAGGUGUAUUAAUGAAGACACAAUAUAUGAAGUGCUUAGCAUAUGCCCCAGCAUAUAAUGAGUGCUCUAUCAGUGGUAGCUCAAAUGUCUUUAUUAUGGACCUCAGAGAGCCACAGGUUGUUGGGGAAAGAGCUCGGUGUGGCCCAGUGCAUUGCAAAUUGUCUGGGUUCAACCUGGAAGUCUCCAUCUGUGCCCACAUCCACUGUCCUUUACGAUGAUGGGUUCUAGAUUUUAUUGGCUACAGCUGGAAAGAAUGCUAGAGAAUCUCACAGAACUGGAGUCCAAUCCAGGCUCCCCUCUUCCUGGAUAACCUGUCUUGAACCUCUCACCUCUCUUGCACUCUGUACGUUGUGCUUUGGUGUGACCUUGGAUGAAUGAGUGAACUUCUCUGACCUCCUAGUUGCUCAUCAGGAGCUGGAGAUGAUGACCACUCAACAGGUAUCCUUUUUCAUCACCAUGCUGCUGCCCCUCCAGCUCUCCUGCCCAUCUUCCGAACUUGUGGUCUGGCCUCCUCAUCUCAUAGGGAAGCAUGUUGGCAGCCAGUCAAGGUAGCAGCUCCAGGAAUAUCCUAAGCAGAAAUCUUGGGGUUUAGGGAACAGAAAGAGACUUUUUCAAUUUUCUGGUCCAAUAUCUUGAACAAAUGGAGAUACUGAGGCCCAGAAAGAGGAAGAAGCUUGCCUGCCUCUGGCUUUCCCAGCAGGCCCUGUUUGCUAGCAGCAUUUGAGCCAGCCUGAGUCAGGGCAGCAGGGGUGGUUGGGGAAGAGGGGGUCUGUCUCUUUGCUCUUAUCACGUGGAGGAUUUCAUGUCCUUUCAGGGCUGAUGGAGGAAAAAUGAACUUUCUGCUCAAUUAGCGUGCUUCGUGUUUUCUCCUUCUAAAAGGUUUAAAAGAAAUGCCACAAUUAGAAGCUGCUGCUGUAGGCAAAACAGAGACUCCUCAAACACUCUUUGCAGAGGACUAAAUGAGAACAGUGAACUUUAGAAUGCGCAGAUGCCUUGCAGGAUAAGAGUGCACCAUUGAGAGGACACUGUGAGGAAUAUUAGAUGACAUUUCCCUUUAUUCAGAAUUACUGAGAAAAUGUGCCCUGCUGGUGGUAAAACAUUGCCAAGGACGCCACCCUCAACAUUAGACUGGCACCUCUUCUGGACUCCGAGCCUGGUGCUUUGGUGAUUCUGGUGCAGUGGGGGUGGAGAGUGUAGGAACAGCCCUGGGCCUAUGCCCAGGAGACCUGGGUUCAAAUCCUAGCUCUGCCUCUGACAAGUUACGGGAUCCCAAACUAGUCACUAUGAUUUGCACCCUUCCUUUCUGAAGGGUUCAGACAGACCCUAGUUUGAGUUCUGCCUAUUCUCUGAGCCCUCUGUUUACUCUCUAGCGUAGCAAGUGUAAAUCCUGCCCCACCACCUGCUCUGGACUGCUGUAACAUGUGAGUGAGGUGAUAUAUGGGUCAGCAUGCCCAGCACAGGGCCUGAUAUUUGGGAAUAGCCAGCUUUCACACUGUGAUAGUAUGUUCAAGAAGAGUAGCAACCAUUGCCAUCAUUUUUACAGAUAAAGAAACUGGUGUUCACAUUACGUCACAGUUAAUGAGUAAAGAGAUGAGAUUGCAACACAGCUCGAGGCCUCUUUCUACCUUGUGCGGUCUCUCGGAAUAGAAACACCCCCAUUCCUCUCUAGCAGGCACUGAGGAGCCCAGCCAGUGGCCAACUAGUUCUCUGGACCAAAGCUGGAUUUUCUGACAGGACCUGUGACCAUGAGCCCUGUGCCCAGCAUUUCUCAGACGCCUUUCCCCAGGCAGUGGUGACAUGGAGAAAGCCCAGAGACCUGAAACCAGAGGGGCUGGUUCUGAGCCAACAGUGUCAGCAUCCAUGACCCAAAUAGAAGAGUCUAGUUUCUUCUCUGGGUCCAGCCCUCAAGCAGCUGUGAAGAAAGCGCAACUCAUUGCUCCUACUUUACAGAAGAGGAAACAGAGGCUCAAAGGGGCUUAGGAACCUGUCUAAGGCCAUGUUGUCAGGGAGGGGCAGAGGCUGAGCCUGCCCAGCUCCUGGACCACUGUUCUUUCCUGACCCUUCUCAGCCAUUUGCUCCAGCUAAGCUUAGAAGGUCUCCAUUUGCACUGAGGUGCUAGGCUGAUGAUGCUGAGACUAUCUGGUAGCAAAGUAGGAGGCCAAGGCCAAUUCAGAGGGGCCAGUGGCAGGCGGCCUACAUACCUGAUGAGAGAGAAGUUUAGGAAGCCCUAUCUGGCCCUGGGUGUGUGAUAGAUCAGGAGUGAAGGACUAGGGCAGUGGGAGUAGAAAGGAGAGGUGUGUGGAGGUAGAAUUGAUGAGAGGGAGGAGGAGUGAGGAGUCAAGGACCACAUCCAGAUUUCGGAGCAGCUGGGUGGAUAGUGGCUCUCCCGGCUGCAACGCAGACCUGGAAAAGACCCAGGAAAACAGACUCCCUGCAGCUCAGCUUCCCCCUUCCCACUGCUGCCUAAAACGCAGAGGCAAGAGGUGCCUGCUGUCAUUCUGCCUCACUCUGCCAGUUCAUGGCCCAGUGCACCACCCCCCAACCUGGCAGUGCCAGACGUGCCCUUCAACAGGCUGGGGUUCCCUCCCUGGACUGCUGCAUCUCCCGUCUGAGCCAGGGAUGGAGCAGUGCCCUUUGUUUUACCGGAGCUCCUUGGUCUUCUCCAGCAUCUGAGCAGCCCCGAUUACAUUUCCAGCCGGUUUUUAAUUGUCUCAUAUCAGCCCACAUAAAUCUGCCUGUGCGGCUCCGCCACCAGGGAAGCAUUCCAACUGCCCGUCUGUCUCCAGGAAACCUCUCGUGCCCUGGGACAGUUGCCUUCUGAGGCACUGGGUGGUCUCUCCAAAUGAGAAAAACAUUUCUUUCCAAUCACAUUUCUAACAUCUUGUUAAUUUGAAUUAUUUAACAAUAUUUUUGCAAAAGCCAUCUGGGAAUGAGUUGGUUGGCGACUUGGGAGAAGGCAUACAGGGUGCUGCAGGGAAGGCCACGAGGACAGCUGCAGACGUCACAUCUGCUAUCAGUGAAAAGGGUGGCUGCAUGGAGAGGAAGGCGGUGAUCAGGAGCCCGGGGAUUACAGCCUGAAUCCCACCAUUCCUACCAGCCAGGAGGUCACCAGUGAGUCACUUCCCAUCUCAGCCUCUGAGCCCUGAGGCCCAGAUUUGCAGUGGCAGUGGAAGCUGUUGUAAACUCUGAGAGGCUGCACAGAUGCAGGUAGGGUGGUUUGCAGAGCCUUUGUGCUGUAGGGGCUUAUUUUACUGAUAGCUGGGUAAGCGAUACAAAGGUCCCAACAGGAAACAUGAUUGGCCCUUACGUAGAGGCAGUUGGUGGGGCUUGAAGCAACUAACUUCACAUGGUAAAAUCCCAGUGUUAAGGCAGGGCCUGACUGUUCCCCAGACCUUUGGGGAGUCAGAGCCCAAAGGGAGUUGAAUCAUCCAGGUCAAGACCCUGGUGGGGUCAACUGAGGCACAGGAAGGCAAGAGGACCUUCCUGAGGUCCUGUGGAAGGCUGCUGGUAGAGCCCCCAGAAGUCCCAGCUCCCACCCCAGGGUUUUCACCCUUUGGAGCCCCGUAAGCACUGUAUUUUCUUCUCUCAUUUUCUCCACAGACAUUGUCAGUCCUUGAGGCAGAUUUAUAAAAUCAGAUGUCAAAUUUUACAGCCCUUGUCUUCGCUCCCACAGUUCAAAUGCUAGGGCUAUAAAAUGAGGUUUUGUUGUGUGUGUGGCACACUCGCACGCAGGCGCCCUUGCCCUCUGUUGGAGCAGAGGCCGUUCCAUCCGCGGGUCUAUGUCUUGCACCUGCUCUUCUCUAGGAAGCUCCCCUGUGAGCAGCCUCCAUCCUCCUUCCAGCACGAGUGUUUUCUGCCACUUUUAAUAAUGCUUUGCUUUUUUUUUUCUUAUCUUUUUAAAGAUUAUUUCACCCAAGAGGAAUAUCAGAAACAAUUGGGUUUGGCAAAGCCAGCUUAUUCCAAAUGCUUUAAUUAAAACCAUUUUUUAAUUUUAAUUUUAUUUUUGCCAUUUCCUUUGGAAAAUCCUCACUCUGCUUAUGGCCUCAGGCAGCUUGGAGAUCACCCUGCCACGUUUUAAGCACAGGCUUUCAGGGCGGAGCUUAUAGACAAGUCAGCAGCAUGGCUUUCACCACUGAGCUCUUAUCGUGCCCUGGGCUGUCAGCUGGGUGAGGAGACAAAGACAUGUCAGCCUGUAAGCUCACAGUCCAGACAAGGAGACAGGACAGUAGGGAAGUACUUUGAUGGACAGAGGUGUGGCAGAAGACAAAGCGAGGGAGAAAGAAAGAAAGUCUGACUAGGGGCAUCUUGGAAGUCUUCCUGGAGGAGGGGCCAGUUGAGGAGGACUUCAGAUGUUAAGAUGUUUGAGAGGAGAAAACUGGGGAAGUUAUGGGGAAGCAACAGCGAAGUACAAGGACAUUUAAGUUGGAGAUUAGAGGAAAGGCCGUAUGCAGUGUCCUUCCUCCCUAAGGUCCCAGCUUGGCUAGGGUAGCCGGCUGUUCAAUUUUCCCUUGGAAGUGACAGAGCCUCUCUGUUUUGUAAAAUGUCACCCAGUUUUUGUUUCCAGGUUGAGGUGCAUAAAAUGUUACGGCUCUUCUAGAAUUUGUCUAGCAGAUUUUCCAGUUUUUACUAGAAACCCCCCAGGAAAAAAAUCUAGGUACAUAAACCCUGGGACCUUGCUUUCUAAAUUUGCCAUCUAACAUCUGAUUUUGACCCUCAGGGUUGUAGUGUGAAAUGAUUUGUCAUCUGCUAGGAACCUUUCUUGGCUGAGCGUUCUUUGGGAAUGUGUCUUUCGGUCUCAACACCCCAGAGGGCCUGGCACAUGAUAGGUACUCAGGAAACAUUUGGAGAUUAUAUUUGGGAGAAAAAUAAUCACAACAUUCAAAAUGAGCCAUGAUUGUAAUAAAAUCAGAUUGUAAAGGUCAGCCCAGUCGGUAGCCGUAUAUCACAUGCAUGUACGCAUGUGUGUGGGAAAAAUAUAGGAAGGCACUAUGCCAAAUUGUGAUUAACCACUGUCUGUGGUGAUGAAAUGGCAGGUUUUUAUCUUCUUUUUAUUUUGGAUUUGUGUUUUCUGGAUUUUCCACAGUGAAUCUCUUUUAUAAUGGUGUUUUGUUUGGUUUUGUUUUGUUUUUUGAGACAGAGUCCCGCUCUGUUGCCCAGGCUGGAGUGCAGUGGCGCUAUCUCGGCUCACUGCGACGUCUGCCUCCCAAGUUCAAGCAAUUCUCCUGCCUCGGCCUCCAGAGUAGCUGGGAUUACAGGUGUGUACCACCACGCCCAGCUAAUUGUUGUAUUUUUUUUUUUUUUUUUUUUUUUUUUAGUAGAGACGGGGGGUUUCACCAUGUUGGUCAGGCUGGUCUCGAACUCCUGAUGUCAGGUGAUCUGCCUGCCUUGGCCUCCUAAAGUCGCCCGGCCUAUAAUAGAGAUUUUUUUUCUUUAAUGAGGCAGAGCAGGAAGCUCAUUGGCUAUGGAGUUAGGAAACGUGUUUCUGGUUCCAGCUCUGUCUUGAGAUAUUUCUUGUAACUUCUCUGUGCCUCAGUUAUUUGGGGGUACUUUAAUUGGCUCAGUAGAGAAAGAGCAUAGAGUAUCGUGGCUAAGAAGGUAGACCACCUGGAGCUAGAAUCCCUCCCUGGUUCAGAUCUCGAUUCUGCGUCUUACUAGCUGUGUGGCCUCCAUUUCUGCAUCUGUACAAUGGGGAGAGUAAUAGUUCCUACAUCUCAGGAUCGUUGUGAGGCAUAAAUGCAAUCGUGGUCCAGGACCACGAUUUUGUACACUGUGAAGCCCUAGUCAGCUCUCUCUUGACUCCCCACAGCAACUCACUUUAUGCUGAAGGAGACGGGCUCAGAGAGAUGAGGCGCUCACCUGUGGCCACAGCAGUGCUCUACAUCCCAGCCCUCCAUCCCCUCAACAACUCCCCACCACUUCCCAGUCUGCCAGAGAGCAAGCCGUGUGCCCGUCAUUUCCUCCUGGCACUAAAGGCGUAUGCCCCACCAAGGCCGAACACAACCUCGCAGGGAGAAACGCAUUUGCACAGUGCCGGGCAGGCUUUUCUUAGCUCCUGGUAUAGCUUGAACAGGCGUCUGCAGAGUGUUCUCAGAGGCAGGAAGAAUGAUGCCAGUAACAGUGAUUAGAAACUCGAGGCAGUGUAGGAUUCUGACACAUCGAUGGUAAGAUGACUGAGGCAGCAAACGCAGGAGAUGGUGUGACCCGGACACCCACAUUUCAGACUCACAGUCUCCAAAUAUUCGCAUAACUCCAUGUUGAGUUCAGAUUUUCAGGCUAGGAAAAUACAUUUUCCUGUUCUGAAUUGUUCCAACCCUAACCAAAAUGUCAUCUCUGAAGAAGCUAGGGUUGCCUGUUUUACUUCUGUGGGAUCUGUGUUUUCAGGAAGCACUCAGUUCCUAUAGUAAGUAACUUUGUGGAACUCAAUUACUUGCAGACGUGCAGGGGGGAAAAAACAGCAAUAAUUAAUGUGGUCAAACCCAAGCCAAAUAAUAAAAUGAAAGCUUUGUUGUCUGUCAAGGCAGAAAUCAAUUUCAUUAGGGAGCAAAGAGCCAGAGAUUUAAUUUUGAGAAAAUUCUCCACCCUGUGGAAAGAGGUUGUCAAAAAGCUGCCAGAAUGAGUGUCCAACAUGAGAGGAUUUGCCCCCCAGAACCGUGACCACAAAGAGCUGACAGUGACCUUUCAACGUUCCAUUUCCAAACCUUCCAAGUGUGGCCAAAGCCAGUGGGCUUUUGCUUCUUAAAAUUCUUGGACCCAACUGUACACAGUGGCUCACGCCUGUAAUCCUAGCACUUUGGGAGGCCAAGGCAGGAGGAUCGCUUGAGCCUAGGAGUUCAAUACCAGCCUGGGCAACAUAGUGAGACGAGGUCUCUACAAAAAAAAAAAAAAAAAUUAAUUAGCUGGGCAUGGUGGCUCACACCUGUAAUCCUAAACUACUCAGGAGGCUGAGGCAGGAGGAUCACUUAAGCCCAGGAGUUAGAGGUUACAGUGAGCUAUGAAUGUGCCACUGCACUCCAGCCUGGACAACAAAGCAAGACCCCCAUCCUUUCCCACCACAGAAAAGCUCUCGGCCCCAUGCCCCUUUUGGGGUGGUCAAGAGAUGAGUGUUACUAUACCUGAUGACACUUGCAUGUCAAUAAGACCCUGUCUCUUGGGACUUGGGAGGGGCUGGGAGAGGGGGGGACUCAGGAGGUCCGCAGACCCCAAAAAGGAGUUCAGCCGAAGCUCAGGAGUGUCUGUGUUAAUGAUGGAGUUGUGUCCAGCCAGAAGGGCUGAUGGCCAAGCUGGACAGACCCCACGGGACCCUGUUUAGUUGCUGGCUCCCGCUGUGUGAGAGAUGGUGACUGCCUGGGGAAUGGGCAGCAGAAGCGACCAGGAUGGGAAAGGACAGGAAAUUCUGCCCCAGGGGCACAGCUGGAAAAGAGCAGCCCAGGUCUUCCUGUCUCUGAGGGACCUUCACAGGGCAGAAGCAGUGGCCUUGGCCUGCAGGAGCUAGAGCUCGGAGCUGGGCUAACCUCAGCAAGCUGUAGUUAGCCACAUUUCAGCUCAGGACAUGGAAGAACUUAACCACGGGCAAAGCUGUCUGUUUGGAAUGGGUUGUCUUGGUGGGGAAGGAGCUCUCUGGUGAUGGUGGUUAAGUAGCAAAGCUGGACAGUAAAUACUGCGGAUAUUACAGAGGAGUUUCCAUCAUUAGAUGGAACUAGAAUGAUGGUUCUCAAACUUGAACAUGCAUCAGAAUCUCUUAGAGGGCGAGUUUAAAACAGAUUUUGGUUGCAAAGAGAUCCAGGAGGACACAGGCUUAACAAGUAAGUCUCUGGGUACUGGUGGACAUUCUAGGACACACUUGAAUAAACUCUAUUUUUUAAAAACCUCCACUCCACUUCCAGCCCUGGGGCUCCAGGGUGUCUGUAAUGAAGGCGAGUCCUUUUGUUUAAUAUCCUUCCUUCCCAUGUGGUAUGAGCAUCUCCUAUGUGCCAAGCUUCAAAGGUUGUCUCUUCAUCAUGUAGAUGGGGAAACCAAGGCCUGAGAAGGCAGAAGCCAGGACCCCAACACCCAGUUCUGAGCUCUUUACUUAGCUUUCAGUGGACUUCAGGGAACAUUGUAAACUAUUCUCUAUUUCACAGAUGAAGAAACUGAGGCCUAGAUUCCCAAGAACUAUUGGGAGUUUUUCCACCAGGAACCAUGGUCAUUCAUAUAAUUUGCAAAAGGUCCUUGGCAGGGUUUCUGGGUGGUUCCCAGUCAACCCCGAUGCCUUUGAAAUUCCAGGGAGGAAAAACCACCCUCGGGUUAGAUGCAGUGGCCUUUGAGCAGGCAGAUCUGUCUUAAUUUGCAGUUUUAAAAGGCCCCUCUGGAUUUUUUUUCUUCUUUUCAAAUAAAGUUUAUUGUGUAUAAUGAAGAUAUACACCAUGAUGUUAUAGAAUACAUAUAGAUAGUAAGAAGGUUACUAAAAGCUAGAUGCAGUACCUCAUGCCUAUAAUCCCAGUGCUUUGGGAGGCCAAGGCAGGAGAAUUGCUUGAGCCUGGGAGUUCAAGACUAGCCUGGGCAACAUAGUGAGACCUCAUUCCUAUAAAAAGUUUUAAAAAUUAGCCAGGCAUGGUGGCACACCCCUGUUGUCCUAGCUCCUUGGGUGGCUGAGGCAGGAGGAUUCCAUGAGCCCAGGCAUUUGGGGUUACAAAGUGAGCUGUGAUUUCACCACUGCUCUCCAGCCUGGGCGACAGAGCAAAACAAAAAAUGUUCCUAUAGUGAAACAAAUUAACAUAUCCCUCACCUUACAUAGUUACCUUUUUUUGUGUGUGUGUGUGGCUAGAGCAGCUAACAUCUACUCAUUUAGCAUGAAUCCCAUAUGAAGUACAAUUUGUUUAUUACCUGUGGUCCUCGUGUUGUGCAUUAGCUCUCUAGACUUGUUCAUCCUGCAUGUCUGCUCUUUUGUACCCUCUGACCUACAUCUCCCCAUCUCCUCCCCACCCUGCCCCAAGGACCCACUGUUUUUUUUCUCUAUCUCUACAUAUUUGAA
This is a long non-coding RNA of Gorilla gorilla gorilla (western lowland gorilla), 15930 nucleotides long. RefSeq lists it as uncharacterized. The transcript has 3 exons. The record is from RefSeq and is a predicted model, not a curated record. Lineage: Eukaryota; Metazoa; Chordata; Mammalia; Primates; Hominidae.